Molecule: long non-coding RNA, 895 nt
Filed under: Bos indicus x Bos taurus (hybrid cattle)
Lineage: Eukaryota; Metazoa; Chordata; Mammalia; Artiodactyla; Bovidae
Description: lncRNA (ENSBIXG00000008147.1)
Source: RNAcentral
AGACCCCCCCAGCAAGAUUCCAAGAUCCAAGAAGUCCAUUUGUGUUUACAGCCAUCACAAACAAGGCUCUGGCAUUUUUAUGUGGUGAAUGACUACAAGCUAAAAGUCAAGUGAGAAAGGCACUGGUGGAGAAAUGAAACACAGACUCAAUAAAAUAGGGCCCAUUAAAAGUGUGACCGUCAUUACAAUGGACCACAGCUAGGGGUGUGGACAAUGACCUUCUGAAGACCCGGAAAAUACUAAGCUGUCAAGAGGAUCUGAUGUCUCGGAACUCUGGUUAAACAGAAGACUGGGCAGUUAGUUAUGGCUGCAUGAAUGGUGCCUCUUCAGAAGUCCGCAGAAGGAUAGCCAUUCUACUAGGAAAGAUGGAGUCUGUGUUCUCUGCAAAGACAGUUCCUGCCGAGGUCAGCUUGGGCUUCAGAGUCAGGCCAUCCAAGUUCUCUUAGCCCACAGGCUCAGUCUUGACAGUGUCCUACCGUACCUGAGAGUCUGGGGGCUGAGAGAGAAGAAGAGUCACUUUGCUUUUAUCACCAAGACCCACAGAUCACAGCCAGUGGUCUCACCGUUUGUGGUGGUUUCUCCCCAGGGUCCUGACGGGUUGGUAUUCUGGAAGCAACAUUUUGGAAGGCCAAGGACAUGUCAGCUCUUAGGACUGCACGGAAGAGAGUCAGUCCUUGUUAUCACCAUUGGAUCCCAGCGGCUCUUUCAUCUCAGACUUGUGAAAGCAGCUUCUCCUCCUGAGUUCUGCCCCAGUUUCUUAAUGGGCCAAGGAAGGGAGAUGUUGAUGGAACUCACAGAUGUGGUUAGACCUCCCCAGCAGCAGUCUGGUCAGAGGUCAGCUGGUCUCUUUCCAGUAACAGGUGGCCCUUGGCCUCUAUUUCUCAAGAGAGCUUGA